AUUAAAGUAACAAAGGGCACACAAGGGAUGCCUAGGUAGAAAGAGCCGAAGAAGGACGUGGUAAGCUGCGAUAAGCUUGGCGAAGUUGCAAACGAACGUGGAUGCCAAGAUUUCCGAAUGGAGCAAUCUGUAAAGAGUCAUGUCUUUACACGAAAGAGGGAACCGGGUGAACUGAAACAUCUAAGUAAUCCGAGGAAAAGAAAGUAACAACGAUACCCUAAGUAGCGGCGAGCGAACGGGGUAGAGCCUAAACCGUAUUCAUGUCAAGGAUGCAGCCGUUGUGGAUAUGGGGUAGCGGGAAAGAGAGAGAAAGAACUGCAAGCUAUUUCGCAGACGUAAGCAAAGGAACAAGAAAGAUCUGGAAAGGUCUACCGUAGAAGGUGAAAGUCCUGUAUUGGUAGUUUUCUUGCGCUGUAUCUCUUCUCCCAAGUAAU
Molecule: ribosomal RNA, 434 nt
Filed under: Fusobacterium necrophorum
Lineage: Bacteria; Fusobacteriati; Fusobacteriota; Fusobacteriia; Fusobacteriales; Fusobacteriaceae
Description: partial 23S ribosomal RNA
Rfam family: Bacterial large subunit ribosomal RNA
Source: RNAcentral